CCUACGGGUCGCAGCAGUGGGGAAUAUUGCACAAUGGGGGAAACCCUGAUGCAGCAACGCCGCGUGAGUGAUGAAGGCCUUCGGGUUGUAAAGCUCUGUCUUCAGGGACGAUAAUGACGGUACCUGAGGAGGAAGCCACGGCUAACUACGUGCCAGCAGCCGCGGUAAUACGUAGGUGGCAAGCGUUGUCCGGAUUUACUGGGCGUAAAGGGAGCGUAGGCGGAUACUUAAGUGGGAUGUGAAAUACCUGGGCUUAACUUGGGUGCUGCAUUCCAAACUGGGUGUCUAGAGUGUUGGAGAGGAAAGUGGAAUUCCUAGUGUAGCGGUGAAAUGCGUAGAGAUUAGGAAGAACACCAGUGGCGAAGGCGACUUUCUGGACAAUAACUGACGCUGAGGCUCGAAAGCGUGGGGAGCAAACAGGAUUAGAUACCCUUGUAGUC
This 440-nucleotide ribosomal RNA is filed under the name uncultured bacterium. Its description in RNAcentral is "bacterial SSU rRNA". It matches the Rfam family "Bacterial small subunit ribosomal RNA", at positions 338 to 795 of the family's 1533-position model. The record is from RNAcentral.